RNAcentral lists this ribosomal RNA (433 nucleotides) under uncultured bacterium. RNAcentral's name for it is "partial 16S ribosomal RNA". It matches the Rfam family "Bacterial small subunit ribosomal RNA", at positions 29 to 507 of the family's 1533-position model. The record is from RNAcentral.
AACGAGCGCUGGCGGCAUGCCUAACACAUGCAAGUCGAACGAGACCUUCGGGUCUAGUGGCGCACGGGUGCGUAACGCGUGGGAACCUGCCCUUAGGUUCGGAAUAACUCCCCGAAAGGGGUGCUAAUACCGGAUAAUGUCUUCGGACCAAAGAUUUAUCGCCUUUGGAUGGGCCCGCGUUGGAUUAGCUAGUUGGUAGGGUAAAAGCCUACCAAGGCGACGAUCCAUAGCUGGUCUGAGAGGAUGAUCAGCCACACUGGGACUGAGACACGGCCCAGACUCCUACGGGAGGCAGCAGUGGGGAAUAUUAGACAAUGGGCGAAAGCCUGAUCCAGCAAUGCCGCGUGAGUGAUGAAGGCCUUAGGGUUGUAAAGCUCUUUUACCCGGGAUGAUAAUGACAGUACCGGGAGAAUAAGCUCCGGCUAACUCCGUG